This 527-nucleotide ribosomal RNA is filed under the name uncultured bacterium. RNAcentral describes it as "bacterial SSU rRNA". It matches the Rfam family "Bacterial small subunit ribosomal RNA", at positions 774 to 1306 of the family's 1533-position model. The record is from RNAcentral.
AGGAAAUAGAUACCCGGGUAGUCCACGCCGUAAACGAUGGAUACUAGCUGUUCGGAGCAAUCUGAGUGGCUAAAGCGAAAAGUGAUAAGUAUCCCACCUGGGGAGUACGCACGCAAGUGUGAAACUCAAAGGAAUUGACGGGGGCCCGCACAAGCGGUGGAGCAUGUGGUUUAAUUCGAUGAUACGCGAGGAACCUUACCAGGGCUUAAAUGUAGAUUGACAGGACUGGAAACAGUUUUUUCUUCGGACAAUUUACAAGGUGCUGCAUGGUUGUCGUCAGCUCGUGCCGUGAGGUGUCAGGUCAAGUCCUAUAACGAGCGCAACCCCUGUCGUUAGUUGCCAGCGAGUCAUGUCGGGAACUCUAACGAGACUGCCAGUGUAAACUGUGAGGAAGGUGGGGACGACGUCAAAUCAUCACGGCCCUUACGUCCUGGGCCACACACGUGCUACAAUGGUAGGUACAGAGAGCAGCCACUGCGCGAGCAGGAGCGAAUCUACAAAACCUAUCUCAGUUCGGAUCGGAGUCU